GUUGCGUGGUUGUCGUCAGCAG
Molecule: non-coding RNA, 22 nt
Filed under: Drosophila melanogaster (fruit fly)
Lineage: Eukaryota; Metazoa; Arthropoda; Insecta; Diptera; Drosophilidae
Source: RNAcentral